ACUACGGGUGGCAGCAGUGAGGAAUAUUGGUCAAUGGGCGCGAGCCUGAACCAGCCAAGUAGCGUGAAGGAUGACUGCCCUACGGGUUGUAAACUUCUUUUAUAAAAGAAUAAAGUGAGGCACGUGUGUCUCUUUGUAAGUACUUUAUGAAUAAGGAUCGGCUAACUCCGUGCCAGCAGCCGCGGUAAUACGGGGGAUCCGAGCGUUAUCCGGAUUUAUUGGGUUUAAAGGGAGCGUAGAUGGGUUGUUAAGUUAGUUGUGAAAGUUUGCGGAUCAACCGGAAAAUUGCAAUUGAUACUGGCAGCCUUGAGUACAGUUGAGGUAGGCGGAAUUCGUGGUGUAGCGGUGAAAUGCUUAGAUAUCACGAAGAACUCCGAUUGCGAAGGCAGCCUACCAAUCUGCCACUGACAUUGAUGCUCGAAAGUGUGGGUAUCAAACAGGAUUAGAUACCCCAGUAGUC
Molecule: ribosomal RNA, 460 nt
Filed under: uncultured bacterium
Lineage: Bacteria
Description: partial 16S ribosomal RNA
Rfam family: Bacterial small subunit ribosomal RNA
Source: RNAcentral